CUCGUGUCCGAGGAAGACGCUGAAGCAGCGGGCACCGUCGCGGCGUUUGCCCGGGGAUGAAGAGUUCCGGAGAACAUCCGCGCUGUGUGUCGAUGCAAUUUACGAGAGAUUAAGACCAGCAAGUAAGGCAACUGCAAUGAAGCAUAAAGAAAGACGAGCAUGCCAACCACUGAUAGUUCAUGAGAAGACAUUUCUGUCAUUAACAAAGUGGAUGGUGAGCAAAGGUGGUGGCCACGUUUUGGAGCAGCACCUGGGUUUUGCAGAUGGCUGUGUAUUCUUCGGCUGCAUGUCUUUUUCUCCAUUAUGUUUCUGUUGCCUGUAGAUUCUUUGUGAGGAUACAACAUAAUGCACUGCAAAACGUCCUAAGACAGGGGAAAUGGUGAAGAUGCACUGUUCCAGCAGUUUAAGACUGUAUUUUUAA
Molecule: long non-coding RNA, 421 nt
Organism: Labeo rohita (rohu)
Lineage: Eukaryota; Metazoa; Chordata; Actinopteri; Cypriniformes; Cyprinidae
Exons: 3
Source: RefSeq, a predicted model, not a curated record